RNAcentral lists this ribosomal RNA (841 nucleotides) under Xanthoparmelia cumberlandia. RNAcentral's name for it is "eukaryotic LSU rRNA". It matches the Rfam family "Eukaryotic large subunit ribosomal RNA", at positions 81 to 936 of the family's 3401-position model. Lineage: Eukaryota; Fungi; Ascomycota; Lecanoromycetes; Lecanorales; Parmeliaceae. The record is from RNAcentral.
CAGUAACGGCGAGUGAAGCGGCAACAGCUCAAAUUUGAAAUCUGGCUCCUUUCGGGGUCCGAAUUGUAAUUUGUAGAGAGUGCUUCGGGCGAGACCUCGGUCUAAGUCCAUUGGAACAUGGUGUCAUAGAGGGUGAGAAUCCCGUAUGCGACCGUGGCUCGAGCCCAUGUGAAGCCUCUUCGACGAGUCGAGUUGUUUGGGAAUGCAGCUCAAAACGGGUGGUAAAUUUCAUCUAAAGCUAAAUAUUGGCUGGAGACCGAUAGCGCACAAGUAGAGUGAUCGAAAGAUGAAAAGCACUUUGGAAAGAGAGUCAAACAGUACGUGAAAUUGUUGAAAGGGAAGCGCUUGCAACCAGACCUGCCCGUAGGCGAUCAGCCGCUGUUCUCAGCGGUGCACUCGCUCUGCGAUCAGGCCAGCAUCGGUUUCGGCGGUCGGAUAAAGGCCUUGGGAAUGUAGCUUCCCUUCGGGGGAGUCUUAUAGCCCUCGGUGUAAUGCGGCCAGCCGGGACCGAGGACCGCGCUUCGGCUAGGAUGCUGGCGUAAUGGUUGUAAGCGACCCGUCUUGAAACACGGACCAAGGAGUCUAACAUCUAUGCGAGUGUUUGGGUGUCAAACCCAUACGCGGAAUGAAAGUGAACGGAGGUGAGAACCCUUAAGGGCGCAUCAUCGACCGAUCCAGAUGUCUUCGGAUGGAUUUGAGUAUGAGCAUAGCUGUUGGGACCCGAAAGAUGGUGAACUAUGCCUGAAUAGGGUGAAGCCAGAGGAAACUCUGGUGGAGGCUCGCAGCGGUUCUGACGUGCAAAUCGAUCGUCAAAUUUGGGUAUAGGGGCGAAAGACUAAUC